This 433-nucleotide ribosomal RNA is filed under the name uncultured bacterium. RNAcentral's name for it is "partial 16S ribosomal RNA". It matches the Rfam family "Bacterial small subunit ribosomal RNA", at positions 29 to 507 of the family's 1533-position model. The record is from RNAcentral.
AGCGAACGCUGGCGGCAGGCUUAACACAUGCAAGUCGAGCGGGCACUUCGGUGUCAGCGGCAGACGGGUGAGUAACACGUGGGAACGUACCCUUUGGUUCGGAAUAACGCUGGGAAACUAGCGCUAAUACCGGAUACGCCCUUUUGGGGAAAGGCUUGCUGCCGAAGGAUCGGCCCGCGUCUGAUUAGCUAGUUGGUGGGGUAAUGGCCUACCAAGGCGACGAUCAGUAGCUGGUCUGAGAGGAUGAUCAGCCACGCUGGGACUGAGACACGGCCCAGACUCCUACGGGAGGCAGCAGUGGGGAAUAUUGGACAAUGGGCGCAAGCCUGAUCCAGCCAUGCCGCGUGAGUGAUGAAGGCCUUAGGGUUGUAAAGCUCUUUUGUCCGGGACGAUAAUGACGGUACCGGAAGAAUAAGCCCCGGCUAACUUCGUG